This is an RNA transcript of Panicum hallii, 1185 nucleotides long. RefSeq lists it as uncharacterized. NCBI's taxonomy places the organism in Eukaryota, Viridiplantae, Streptophyta, Magnoliopsida, Poales, Poaceae. The record is from RefSeq and is a predicted model, not a curated record. The transcript has 4 exons.
CCAGCCCCCGCCCACCCAUCCACCACCGCCACAGCGCCACUCGCUUCUGCUCCCUCGCUGUCCUGGCGCUCCUCCCCCAUGGCGGCACACGCCGGGACCCUAGCUCCGCCCCUCCCCCUCCGCCUCCCUCCUUGCCCGCUCCCCCGCCCCGGACUCCUCACCCCAGCCUCCUCCUCGCUCCUCCCGCGAGCCCGCCGCCUCGCGGUCGCCCGCGCGGCCUCCGGCUCCGACGGCGGGCCCCCGGCGGAGGGGGACAAGGACCGGAAAGGCAGCCCUUCACUCCCGGCGCUGUCAGAGAUCCGGUGGGGCGAGCUGCUGUCCCCGGAGCCUACCAACGCCGCGGCCGUGGUGCUGACCGGCGCGCUCGCCUGGGCCGGCGCCUCGCUGCUGCUGCAGCUCGUCGCGAUCUUCGCCGCGAUCUUCGCCGCCGCCGUCAAGUACUCCUUCGUCGCCGCGGUCCUGCUCUUCAUCCUCAUCGCGCUCCUGUGACCGGCUUCGUCGCCCAGAUAACCUUCACUUUGGAUUGGCCUUGAAGCAAAUAUGGCACUAAUCGUAAGCAGUCACUGGUUUCACGUUCCUCUCAAGUCUAACACACAUGCAGUGACACAACCUGCUUUUAUAUAGCAAUCCACCUUCAAGGGAAUAUGAUCUUUCGCCAGUAUUGGUUGCAUUGCUGCACGCCACUUGAAAGCACCUUGCAGUGCUUAGGGAACUGGAAUAUAUAUCAAUUGUGAAUGCUUGCACAAAUAUUGAGGUGUAUAUUUUUUGAACUGGGUACUGAGGUGUAUAUUGAAGCCCUCUUUUGUGUUGAAUCUCCCGGCAGUAAUUGAACUUGUAAGUUCACAUGCACCGAAAAAGAAGAAAAACUUCAACCAGAAACUCUCCUGGUAGGAGGCGUUUGGUUCUAGUAAGGAAUCUGGGAACUCAGCCUGCACAUUAUAUGCGCCCCCGAGUCAACAUACUACUGGAACGCAUGGGUGGAAGGAUGGAUGGAAUCAUGAUAUCUCAUGAAAAGCAUCCACGGUUUUCAUCUUGUAUGUUAUCCCUAAUAAUUGGAGAAUGUUCUAAUAUGGUUUGUUAGGUCUGAAGAGAAUGUUGCAUGGCAACACCAGCCUGCAUUUGGUGUGCCAUUUGUGCCGAUUGUGACUGUGCAGUUUCAGCUUUCUAUUCAUUUUUUCCUGUGGC